AUGAACUUCUCACACUCAGCAGCCACUCGGGAGUUGGGAAACAAUCUCCUGGGGUUUGUGCUGGCGUGAUUAAGGAAAGAGGCCACUUACAGGCCUUUGUCUAAAGCCUCGCGCCGGUGGUGGCUGGGGUCAGGAAAGCUGGGAGGUUCAACUACGGGCGAGAAAAUUGGGGCACUUUCCACGUCUCUCCCGAAAAUAAAAGAAAGGAUGCCGGGCACGGCGGCUCACGCCUGUAAUCCCAGCACUUUGGGAGGCCGAGGCGGGCGGAUCACCUGAGGUCAGGAAUUCGACACCAGCCUGGGCAACACGGUUCUGAAACAACACUGUAACUGCUGAAUGCUUCUGGCUGGUUCUUUCCACAGUAAAAGAUGAAAAGAAAUAUCUUUUAUUGAGAUAGACUGAGGUCCAGGAAAAACAAGUGCAACUUCAUGGUCCUUUUCUUCAUAUUCUGGAAUACAAGAAUACGUGUAAAUGUUUGCAAAUUCAGGUGCUAA
This 494-nucleotide non-coding RNA is filed under the name Pan troglodytes (chimpanzee). The record is from RNAcentral. Lineage: Eukaryota; Metazoa; Chordata; Mammalia; Primates; Hominidae.